RNAcentral lists this ribosomal RNA (490 nucleotides) under uncultured bacterium. Its description in RNAcentral is "partial 16S ribosomal RNA". It matches the Rfam family "Bacterial small subunit ribosomal RNA", at positions 27 to 507 of the family's 1533-position model. The record is from RNAcentral.
GGACGAACGCUGGCGGCGUGCUUAACCCAUGCAAGUCGAACGGAAAGGCCCCCACCUUGGUGGGGGUGCUCGAGUGGCGAACGGGUGAGUAACACGUGGGUGAUCUGCCCUGUACUUCGGGAUAAGCUUGGGAAACUGGGUCUAAUACCGGAUAGGACCAUGGUUUAGUGUCUCAUGGUGGAAAAAUUAUUGUUUUGGUGCAGGAUGAGCUCGCGGCCUAUCAGCUUGUUGGUGGGGUAAUGGCCUACCAAGGCGUCGACGGGUAGCCGGCCUGAGAGGGUGGACGGCCACAUUGGGACUGAGAUACGGCCCAGACUCCUACGGGAGGCAGCAGUGGGGAAUAUUGCACAAUGGGCGCAAGCCUGAUGCAGCGACGCCGCGUGGGGGAUGACGGCCUUCGGGUUGUAAACUCCUUUCGUUAGGGACGAAGCCACACCUUUUUUGGGUGUGGUGACGGUACCUUUGUUAAGAAGCACCGGCUAACUACGUG